AAGUCGUAACAAGGUUUCCGUAGGUGAACCUGCGGAAGGAUCAUUAUUGAUAUCGCGACCCGCAAGGGACGCUUCAUUUCCGUGCUCCCCGCAUCGUCGGGGGGCUCGGACAAACCAUUUGUGCACCGUAAUUGUUGCUUCGCCGAUCGCCACAGGUCAUCAUUAAAUCGGAAUUUUUUUAAUUACGAAUUUUUGUUGAACUGGUUCGCGGCGGAUUUCCUCCUUCGCGGUGGAUUCCGAAGGCGGGCAGCGCGUCGGCGAAGCUUUACUUGACGCAAACUUGCUUGAAAAUCGGCUUGAAACGCUCCGCGAAGCGCGGAAGCAACUAUUUUUUAAAUAAUAAAACAACUUUUAACAACGGAUCUCUUGGCUCUC
Molecule: unclassified non-coding RNA, 375 nt
Filed under: fungal sp.
Lineage: Eukaryota; Fungi
Description: partial internal transcribed spacer region
Rfam family: Eukaryotic small subunit ribosomal RNA (bases 1-46)
Source: RNAcentral